UCAAAUGAAGUAUAUGCUAUACCAUUAGAUGAAGGUUUUCUUCUUUACGGGAUGGAGGCCAUAUGAUAAUUGUGACAAAGAAGAAGACAAAAAUCUAGAGGUCACAAUAGAUAGCAUCUAAUAUUCCAAGAAGCAUAAUACUUAUGCUCUGAUAAUUUUUGAAGGAAUGAAAUGUUAUGUUUGACAUAAUGGAAUAAGAGGAGAGAAGAGGAAGUCAAUUGUCUUGAACGGUUAUAGAUUUAUGUCUCCACAGUGUAAUAUACAAAUAAAGUUGGAAGAGGAAGAGUGCCAUUGGAAAAUUGCAUGUUGCUAUUCGGUCGAUAAAACCAUAGUUGUUGGAUCAAGAGAUGCAAACUUUGUCACUAAGAUCUGUAUCACUGUCCUAUAGAAUGCUCCUUUUAAUGUCAUGAAGUGGAGAAUUAAAAAUGUUGUUAGUUGGAGUCAGAAUUAUGCAGAAGAAUUAUAUUCGUAAAUUACAUCAAUUUUUCUAUUGUUUAUUACAACAAGACCAUUUAUUAUUAUUUUUUCAUGUUAAGGAGAGAUAAUUUAUCA
Cicer arietinum (chickpea) is the source of this 552-nucleotide non-coding RNA. NCBI's taxonomy places the organism in Eukaryota, Viridiplantae, Streptophyta, Magnoliopsida, Fabales, Fabaceae. The record is from RefSeq and is a predicted model, not a curated record.